AUUGAACGCUGGCGGCAGGCCUAACACAUGCAAGUCGAGCGGAUGAAGGGAGCUUGCUCCUGGAUUCAGCGGCGGACGGGUGAGUAAUGCCUAGGAAUCUGCCUGGUAGUUGGGGAUAACGUCCGGAAACGGGCGCUAAUACCGCAUACGUCCUGAGGGAGAAAGUGGGGGAUCUUCGGACCUCACGCUCUCAGAUGAGCCUAGGUCGGAUUAGCUAGUUGGUGGGGUAAAGGCCUACCAAGGCGACGAUCCGUAACUGGUCUGAGAGGAUGAUCAGUCACACUGGAACUGAGACACGGUCCAGACUCCUACGGGAGGCAGCAGUGGGGAAUAUUGGACAAUGGGUGAAAGCCUGAUCCAGCCAUGCCGCGUGUGUGAAGAAGGUCUUCGGAUUGUAAAGCACUUUAAGUUGGGAGGAAGGGCAGUAAGUUAAUACCUUGCUGUUUUGACGUUACCAACAGAAUAAGCACCGGCUAACUUCGUG
This 484-nucleotide ribosomal RNA is filed under the name uncultured bacterium. RNAcentral's name for it is "partial 16S ribosomal RNA". It matches the Rfam family "Bacterial small subunit ribosomal RNA", at positions 30 to 507 of the family's 1533-position model. The record is from RNAcentral.